RNAcentral lists this ribosomal RNA (254 nucleotides) under uncultured Pseudomonas sp. Its description in RNAcentral is "partial 16S ribosomal RNA". It matches the Rfam family "Bacterial small subunit ribosomal RNA", at positions 99 to 354 of the family's 1533-position model. Lineage: Bacteria; Pseudomonadati; Pseudomonadota; Gammaproteobacteria; Pseudomonadales; Pseudomonadaceae. The record is from RNAcentral.
CGGACGGGUGAGUAAUGCCUAGGAAUCUGCCUGGUAGUGGGGGACAACGUUUCGAAAGGAACGCUAAUACCGCAUACGUCCUACGGGAGAAAGCAGGGGACCUUCGGGCCUUGCGCUAUCAGAUGAGCCUAGGUCGGAUUAGCUAGUUGGUGAGGUAAUGGCUCACCAAGGCGACGAUCCGUAGCUGGUCUGAGAGGAUGAUCAGUCACACUGGAACUGAGACACGGUCCAGACUCCUACGGGAGGCAGCAGGC